This is a long non-coding RNA of Lutra lutra (Eurasian river otter), 1452 nucleotides long. RefSeq lists it as uncharacterized. The transcript is spliced from 3 exons. The record is from RefSeq and is a predicted model, not a curated record. NCBI's taxonomy places the organism in Eukaryota, Metazoa, Chordata, Mammalia, Carnivora, Mustelidae.
GAAACUCAAACUACUGUAAACCUAAACAGAUCUAAACAGGGACAGCGUUCACUUGCCGCUCACCAGGCACCUCUAUGCCCUCGCCCUGGGGCCUGGAAGGGUCAUCAGAGGUCACCAAGGGAGAAGGAGAAUGAAGGUGUGGGAUUGUGGGGUCCCUGUAAGGCUCUUUAGGACAACCCAAGCCGCUUGCUGGUGAGGACUGCUGUCCACUGGGGCAUCCAUGUUGCCUGGAAAGUGAAUGCCCACGUCUGCUGGGUUCAACGCCUCUCACCCUGGAGUGCAUAAAUUGCCAAAUUUCAUCUUUCCCCUUUGAUCUCUGUUUUCCGGAUGUUCCUCCCAACCUAUUCUGGGCCCUUCUUUUCUGUUGAUACAUUUUCCACUACAAGCAGCGCCUUGUUUCUUACAUAUUGUGACAGUGAAGGAUACAAAAAUUGAGAAUUAAGUUUACAUGUCAUAGGAUGGAGCCCAUUCCUGGAGCCCACAAGUGUUGUAAAACCUGUAUUUAUUAUAUAAAUGUUUAUGGUUAUUGUUUUUUUACAACUCAGGAAAAGCAGACACGGGGGACGAUGAGGAGUGAAGAGACUGUUCUGGAACAAAAGAGAUUUAAGAGCCGGUACAUGCCCUUAAAAUGCACUGUGUGGGCUUGUCUGAAGUCUAAUCCAAGCACAUCAAUGCCUCGCUUCUUUCUGGCGAAAUCCCUCCCCACCUUCAAGAUCAGAUCACCAGAAACCACCGUCCCUGGCAGCUGGACACAGCCACACAUGUCUUCUCAUUUGAUCCUAACAACCAUGCCCCUAGACAGAUGUUAUGACUUCAUUUUUCACAGGCAAGGAAAUAGAGGCCAGACGUAACUUACCGGACUCCACACCAACGUGGAGCCCAACGAGGAGCUGGAACUCAUGACCUUGAGAUCAAGACCUGAGCUGAGAUCAAGAGUUAGAAGCUCAACUGACUGAGCCCCCCAGGCAUCCCCCAGACUGCCAUUUAAAUGAGGAUCCCUGUUGCAACCACCUCUCACAGUGACUGUAACACAGUCUUCUACAGGCAUUACCCAAAUGGGUGUGAAGAAGCCAGGAUAGCUUCCAAAAACUUCUCCAAAGCUUCUCAACAAAAAGUACCGAGUACAUACCCAGGGUUGGACAACACUGUCAUUAGCGCCAAGACUUUUCAUUCCUGAGCCUAUGGCAGACAUCACUUACGGAUCACAGGACUCCCUCCCACCAAGCCAGAGAAAUAGCCCAUCAAUGCAGCAAUUCAAGUAGCCGCAACCAAUCGACUGGAGUGGGUGCACGCCAACAAACCUAGUCAACAUUUCACCUUAUUGCAUGCUGGGCCCCUUGCUAGGAAUUGCAGGGAUGAAUAACACAGUGUCUCUGCCCUCAAGUCAAAUAUGGAUAGGGGCAGGGAGUAGGCAAAACUGUGAACCCAUAUUUACAGCCAGGUUACGUAUAA